This 253-nucleotide ribosomal RNA is filed under the name uncultured bacterium. Its description in RNAcentral is "partial 16S ribosomal RNA". It matches the Rfam family "Bacterial small subunit ribosomal RNA", at positions 524 to 776 of the family's 1533-position model. The record is from RNAcentral.
UACGGAGGGUGCAAACGUUGCUCGGAAUCAUUGGGCGUAAAGCGCACGUAGGCGGUCCGUUAUGUCGCGUGUGAAAGCCCCCGGCUCAACUGGGGAGGGUCACGCGAUACUGAUCGACUGGAAGGCAGGAGAGGGUAGUGGAAUUCCCGGUGUAGUGGUGAAAUUCGUAGAUAUUCGGAAGAACACCAGUGGCGAAGGCGGCUUACUGGACACGUAUUGACGCUGAGGUACGAAAGCGUGGGGAGCAAACAGG